Long non-coding RNA from Mangifera indica (mango), 1426 nucleotides. RefSeq lists it as uncharacterized. The record is from RefSeq and is a predicted model, not a curated record. The transcript has 2 exons. NCBI's taxonomy places the organism in Eukaryota, Viridiplantae, Streptophyta, Magnoliopsida, Sapindales, Anacardiaceae.
AUCAACUCAAGAACGUCAGAGCUACUUGGCUUAAAUUGACUCCAUAGAUAACGUUUUCCACUUGAACUUUUAGUCCUAUAUUAUAAGCUGUUUCAAGUGUGAAAACGAGGUAGUUGCCCCCACGUCUUUCUAAAUCCAUGUGGGUCUCAAAAUAGCAAUUUUAAAACCAAGGGACAUGACUAAGCCAGUUUGAAGAUAUCAAAACCAUGCUUACGAAGAACAAGCUUGAUAAUUUGUGGUUGUUACAGCAAGAUUUUUAACAUGGAAUAAUCCUAAAUGAUUCUAGUAAUCUUCAAGUUUAUGUUGCUAAUUUGUUAGCGGCGUAUGGGCUUUGGGUUUUGCGGCUCCACCUUUUGAGAGCGACGACCCCAUUAAGUCUCAUCAAAUUCGAAGUUGGGAAGACAUGGAAGCAUGCCUUGAACAAUAUUAAUAUUAUUCCUGCGAGAUUCUCUUUGCUUUUCAUCAUGGUGUCUUCCACUAGUGAAUGGAGGAAGAAGAUUAGGAAGAAGACAACUAAUUUGCAAUAUAAACAGUUUAGUUGAAAUGGGUUCUCGAAAUGAGACCAAAAAAAUUACAGACAUCACUCAAAAUUCUUGUACAUAAUUCAAUCCAGUAAGUUGAAUGAAGCCCAUGAAGGAUUUGCCUUAGCAUACCGAGCUGAGAAAGAGCGAUGAAGAUUAUCAGGCUCUGCCCAUCCUGUUCCUUGAUCAAAAUUCUGAGAGUAUGCAUCAGGGUCAUAAGAAGCCUGCAAUGUAACUGGAUAGCGAAAAACUUUCUUCCUUUCUCCUCUUAUUUUCUUCCAAAUGCUUCUCCAUCUUGAAUUGGAGCCCUCCUUGUAUUUAUGUUGGCUGUAACUCCGGCCUAAAUGGAUGGUUUCUGGGGCUGCGCCGGCCCAGUUUUGCCACAUUUUGAUUCCCAUAAGUAGACAAGGAGAAAUCUUUCUGCAGCUUAAAGAUUAUACUUAUGUACAAAUGACUACAAAUUGAACUUCGGAGUUUGGCUUGGCUUUAAAAAGUGGGGAAAAAAUCUGGGAAAUGUUUAUCUGCAGAAAAUGAGACCAUUAGUUUCAAUAAAAAGUUGUAUGAAGUUCAGAAUUUUUCAGGAAAAUGAAGUGUGGCUUAGCAGCUCAGACGCAUUGCAGCAGCCAGAAGCUCUAAAUAAAGGCAACAUGAGGACCACGCCAGCGAGACUUUGGCGAAAGUUUUAUGGUCAAAUAGCCGAAAGGGUCUUACUUUGCAGGCCGCGUACAAGAGUAAGUUGAAUGAGAAUAUUAAAUUGACUGGAUUUUUAAGCUUUAGUAUGCUGUGGAGAAAAAGAUAUUGUAUUAUUAAAGUUAGGGCGGAAGUUUCCAAUGACAAAAAUUGUAAAAAUUGAACAUAUGAUUGAGCUUAAAAUAUACUUUCACCUAUGUCGAUUGCAUCUGAAA